RNAcentral lists this transfer RNA (76 nucleotides) under Candidatus Aquicultor secundus. Its description in RNAcentral is "Actinobacteria bacterium CG17_big_fil_post_rev_8_21_14_2_50_50_24 tRNA-Ala". It matches the Rfam family "tRNA". From Rfam's summary of the family: Transfer RNA (tRNA) molecules are approximately 80 nucleotides in length. Their secondary structure includes four short double-helical elements and three loops (D, anti-codon, and T loops). Lineage: Bacteria; Bacillati; Actinomycetota; Candidatus Aquicultoria; Candidatus Aquicultorales; Candidatus Aquicultoraceae. The record is from RNAcentral.
GGGGGAUUAGCUCAGUUGGGAGAGCGCCUGCCUUGCACGCAGGAGGUCAUCGGUUCGAGCCCGUUAUCCUCCACGA